Molecule: long non-coding RNA, 954 nt
Organism: Cyprinus carpio carpio
Lineage: Eukaryota; Metazoa; Chordata; Actinopteri; Cypriniformes; Cyprinidae
Source: Ensembl
GAGGGGUAUUGCACAAAAGUAGAAUUAAGAAAUCCAGGAUAACAGAAAAGGCGCGGCUUGACCUAGUUCAAUCAGUGCAUCCUGGCUUAAUCCGUUGCACGUUUGCUGAGCCAGGAUGAGAACGCGCGGAUAUGUCAAGCCAGGUGUAUAUAGUUUGGAUAAAUGCACGUUCACGGCAUUCUUAAAAAGAUCACGAAAUCGAUCACAGAAUCACCGAUGCAAAAAUGGACAAAACCCGUGCGGCAUACUUUUCGCCUAAUGAGCAACAGCUUCUUAUGGAAACGUAUGAAGAAGUGAAACAUAUUAUAUGUAAAAAAGGCAAUACAGCUGCUGUAAUAAAGCAAAGAGAGAAUGCCUGGCAAACAAUAGCGGACCGAUUGAAUGCCAAUAAAAAAAAAAGUCAUAUAUCUGGUACGGGGGGUGGCCCUCCAACCCAAGACUUCACCACAGCAGAGGAGCUGGCCCUGGACUUAAAUAAAGGGAAGCCAGUGAUUGAAGGGAUCCAGGGAGGGACAGCCACUGACUCUGGCCCAGCAAGGGAUACUGGCCUCUUCAUACAAGUGGAUGGUAACACCCUUACACUUUUGGAGCCACCAGACUAUAAUUCAUCGAGGGAAGCCACAUCUACAGCAGCGGAGUGCACUUCUGCCGAUGAUGAGACCGUGUCGCUGGACUCCAGAAGGCUCGAGGUAUCAUGUCAAUUUUGUGAUCCUGACAUUGGGCAGCCUGAUAAGCAGCCUCGUAACAUAAGUUCACAAACUGUCAGAUAUCUGUACACAACGCAUCUUAAGAGACCGAUCGAGCUGACAGAAGUCAAGAUUGAUGUGAAAAAAAGAAAGCUGCAGGACAUGGACCUUGAGAUGCAAAUUAAACGAAACACACUGAGGAAACUAGAACUGGAAAUCCAGAAACUAGAAAGAGAAGUAAGUGACUUCAGUUCAUACUGUAACCAUG